Molecule: non-coding RNA, 112 nt
Organism: Myotis davidii
Lineage: Eukaryota; Metazoa; Chordata; Mammalia; Chiroptera; Vespertilionidae
Source: Rfam
GGGCAGGCUCUGUUUACUUAGCCCAGCGGUUCCUUCGAGCCCAGCCUUCAUGUGCCAACCAGUCUUGCUCGCGAGGAUGGUUCGAGACCAGCAGGCGCCCUCCAGUCCUUUA